This 253-nucleotide ribosomal RNA is filed under the name uncultured bacterium. Its description in RNAcentral is "partial 16S ribosomal RNA". It matches the Rfam family "Bacterial small subunit ribosomal RNA", at positions 524 to 776 of the family's 1533-position model. The record is from RNAcentral.
UACGGGGGGGGCAAGCGUUGUUCGGAAUUACUGGGCGUAAAGGGCGCGUAGGUGGCCUGUUAAGUCGAACGUGAAAUCCCCGGGCUCAACCCGGGAACUGCGUCCGAGACUGGCAGGCUCGAAUCCGGGAGAGGGAUGUGGAAUUCCAGGUGUAGCGGUGAAAUGCGUAGAUAUCUGGAGGAACACCGGUGGCGAAGGCGGCAUCCUGGACCGGUAUUGACGCUGAGGCGCGAAAGCCAGGGGAGCAAACGGG